This 45-nucleotide non-coding RNA is filed under the name Echinostoma caproni. The record is from RNAcentral. Lineage: Eukaryota; Metazoa; Platyhelminthes; Trematoda; Plagiorchiida; Echinostomatidae.
ACACUGCUGACGAGUCCCAAACAGAACGAAACAACUGUCCACUGU